UCCGGCCGGGGCCGUUGGGGUGUGCGUUAUGGCGCCUAUGAUGCGCCGGGUUUUGCCGUCGUUCUGACCGGUGCGGCAUGGA
RNAcentral lists this transfer RNA (82 nucleotides) under Agrobacterium tumefaciens. RNAcentral's name for it is "tRNA-His(atg)". Lineage: Bacteria; Pseudomonadati; Pseudomonadota; Alphaproteobacteria; Hyphomicrobiales; Rhizobiaceae. The record is from RNAcentral.